AAAACUUUCGACAACGGAUCUCUUGGUUCUCGCAUCGAUGAAGAACGCAGCG
RNAcentral lists this ribosomal RNA (52 nucleotides) under uncultured fungus. RNAcentral's name for it is "partial 5.8S ribosomal RNA". It matches the Rfam family "5.8S ribosomal RNA", at positions 1 to 50 of the family's 154-position model. Rfam says of the family: 5.8S ribosomal RNA (5.8S rRNA) is a component of the large subunit of the eukaryotic ribosome. The record is from RNAcentral. Lineage: Eukaryota; Fungi.